GACGAACGCUGGCGGCGUGCUUAAUACAUGCAAGUCAACUGAACUUUAGGUAGCAAUAUUUAAAGGGAGGUGGCGCACGGGUGAGUAACACGUAGGUAAUCUGCCUUCAGGACUGACAUAAUUCCGCGAAAGCGGGACUAAAAUCAGAUGAUGCAGCGGCUCGACAUCGAGACAGUUGUUAAACCUUCGGGGCCUGAAGAUGAGCCUGCGUCUGAUUAGGUAGUUGGCGGGGUAAAAGCCCACCAAGCCUGCGAUCAGUAGCUGGUCUGAGAGGAUGAUCAGCCACACUGGAACUGAGACACGGUCCAGACUCCUACGGGAGGCAGCAGUAAGGAAUAUUGCUCAAUGGCCGAAAGGCUGAAGCAGCAACGCCGCGUGGAGGAUGAAAUACUUUAGUAUGUAAACUCCUGUAAGAGGGGAAAAAUAUACAGCUAUGCUGUGUUGAUUGUACCCUCAGAGUAAGCACCGGCUAACUACGUG
This 480-nucleotide ribosomal RNA is filed under the name uncultured bacterium. Its description in RNAcentral is "bacterial SSU rRNA". It matches the Rfam family "Bacterial small subunit ribosomal RNA", at positions 28 to 507 of the family's 1533-position model. The record is from RNAcentral.